RNAcentral lists this transfer RNA (83 nucleotides) under Parmotrema stuppeum. RNAcentral's name for it is "tRNA-Leu". The record is from RNAcentral. Lineage: Eukaryota; Fungi; Ascomycota; Lecanoromycetes; Lecanorales; Parmeliaceae.
GUCCGAGUGCUGGAAUAGGUAGACAGUGCGAACUUAAGAUUCGCUGAUUUAAUAUCGUAAACGUUCAAGUCGUUUCUUGGAUA